CAAUAAGCGGAGGAAAAGAAACUAACAAGGAUUCCCCUAGUAACUGCGAGUGAAGCGGGAUGAGCUCAAAUUUAAAAUCUGGCGUCUUCGGCGUCCGAGUUGUAAUUUAGAGAAGUGUUUUCCGCGCCGGACCGUGUACAAGUCUCCUGGAACGGAGCGUCAUAGAGGGUGAGAAUCCCGUCUUUGACACGGACCCCCGGUGCUCUGUGAUACGCUCUCGAAGAGUCGAGUUGUUUGGGAAUGCAGCUCAAAAUGGGUGGUGAACUCCAUCUAAAGCUAAAUAUUGGCGAGAGACCGAUAGCGAACAAGUACCGUGAGGGAAAGAUGAAAAGCACUUUGGAAAGAGAGUGAAACAGUACGUGAAAUUGUUGAAAGGGAAACGCUUGAAGUCAGUCGCGUCCGCCGGGAUUCAGCCUUACGGUGUACUUCUCGGUGGACGGGCCAGCAUCACUUUCGAUCAUCGGAAAAGGGCGAGGGGAAUGUGGCACCUCCGGGUGUGUUAUAGCCCUUUGUCGUAUACGGUGACCGGGAGUGAGGACCGCCUUUUGUAGGAUGCUGGCGUAAUGGCUUUAAACGACCCGUCUUGAAACACGGACCAAGGAGUCUAACAUGCCCGCGAGUGUUCGGGUGGAAAACCCGUGCGCGUAAUGAAAGUGAAAGUUGGGAAGGCUGUCGCGGCCUGCACCGACGCCCGGACUUGAGAUUUAUCUAAGGUUCUGCGGUAGAGCGUGUAUGUUGGGACCCGAAAGAUGGUGAACUAUGCCUGAAUAGGGUGAAGCCAGAGGAAACUCUGGUGGAGGCUCGUAGCGAUUCUGACGUGCAAAUCGAUCGUCGAAUUUGGGUAUAGGG
This 849-nucleotide ribosomal RNA is filed under the name Peniophora pithya. RNAcentral describes it as "partial large subunit ribosomal RNA". It matches the Rfam family "Eukaryotic large subunit ribosomal RNA", at positions 44 to 922 of the family's 3401-position model. RNAcentral also lists the same sequence under 1 other name. Lineage: Eukaryota; Fungi; Basidiomycota; Agaricomycetes; Russulales; Peniophoraceae. The record is from RNAcentral.